This 497-nucleotide ribosomal RNA is filed under the name uncultured bacterium. RNAcentral's name for it is "partial 16S ribosomal RNA". It matches the Rfam family "Bacterial small subunit ribosomal RNA", at positions 28 to 507 of the family's 1533-position model. The record is from RNAcentral.
GACGAACGCUGGCGGCGUGCCUAAUACAUGCAAGUUGAGCGCUGAAGGUUGGUACUUGUACCAACUGGAUGAGCAGCGAACGGGUGAGUAACGCGUGGGGAAUCUGCCUUUGAGCGGGGGACAACAUUUGGAAACGAAUGCUAAUACCGCAUAAAAACUUUAAACACAAGUUUUAAGUUUGAAAGAUGCAAUUGCAUCACUCAAAGAUGAUCCCGCGUUGUAUUAGCUAGUUGGUGAGGUAAAGGCUCACCAAGGCGAUGAUACAUAGCCGACCUGAGAGGGUGGUCGGCCAAAUUGGGACUGAGACACGGCCCAAACUCCUACGGGAGGCAGCAGUAGGGAAUCUUCGGCAAUGGACGAAAGUCUGACCGAGCAACGCCGCGUGAGUGAAGAAGGUGUUCGGAUCGUAAAACUCUGUUGGUAGAGAAGAACGUUGGUGAGAGUGGAAAGCUCAUCAAGUGACGGUAACUACCCAGAAAGGGACGGCUAACUACGUG